Molecule: ribosomal RNA, 1491 nt
Filed under: metagenome
Description: bacterial SSU rRNA
Rfam family: Bacterial small subunit ribosomal RNA
Source: RNAcentral
AGAGUUUGAUCCUGGCUCAGAUUGAACGCUGGCGGCAUGCCUUACACAUGCAAGUCGAACGGCAGCACGAGAGCUUGCUCUUGGUGGCGAGUGGCGAACGGGUGAGUAAUAUAUCGGAACGUACCCUAGAGUGGGGGAUAACGUAGCGAAAGUUACGCUAAUACCGCAUACGAUCUACGGAUGAAAGUGGGGGAUCGCAAGACCUCAUGCUCAUGGAGCGGCCGAUAUCUGAUUAGCUAGUUGGUGGGGUAAGAGCUCACCAAGGCGACGAUCAGUAGCUGGUCUGAGAGGACGACCAGCCACACUGGAACUGAGACACGGUCCAGACUCCUACGGGAGGCAGCAGUGGGGAAUUUUGGACAAUGGGCGCAAGCCUGAUCCAGCAAUGCCGCGUGAGUGAAGAAGGCCUUCGGGUCGUAAAGCUCUUUUGUCAGGGAAGAAACGGUGGACUCUAAUACAGAUCACUAAUGACGGUACCUGAAGAAUAAGCACCGGCUAACUACGUGCCAGCAGCCGCGGUAAUACGUAGGGUGCAAGCGUUAAUCGGAAUUACUGGGCGUAAAGCGUGCGCAGGCGGUUGUGCAAGACAGAUGUGAAAUCCCCGGGCUCAACCUGGGAAUUGCAUUUGUGACUGCACGGCUAGAGUGUGUCAGAGGGGGGUAGAAUUCCACGUGUAGCAGUGAAAUGCGUAGAGAUGUGGAGGAAUACCGAUGGCGAAGGCAGCCCCCUGGGAUAACACUGACGCUCAUGCACGAAAGCGUGGGGAGCAAACAGGAUUAGAUACCCUGGUAGUCCACGCCCUAAACGAUGUCUACUAGUUGUCGGGUCUUAAUUGACUUGGUAACGCAGCUAACGCGUGAAGUAGACCGCCUGGGGAGUACGGUCGCAAGAUUAAAACUCAAAGGAAUUGACGGGGACCCGCACAAGCGGUGGAUGAUGUGGAUUAAUUCGAUGCAACGCGAAAAACCUUACCUACCCUUGACAUGUCUGGAAUCCUUGAGAGAUCAGGGAGUGCUCGAAAGAGAAUCAGAACACAGGUGCUGCAUGGCUGUCGUCAGCUCGUGUCGUGAGAUGUUGGGUUAAGUCCCGCAACGAGCGCAACCCUUGUCAUUAGUUGCUACGAAAGGGCACUCUAAUGAGACUGCCGGUGACAAACCGGAGGAAGGUGAGGAUGACGUCAAGUCCUCAUGGCCCUUAUGGGUAGGGCUUCACACGUCAUACAAUGGUACAUACAGAGGGCCGCCAACCCGCGAGGGGGAGCUAAUCCCAGAAAGUGUAUCGUAGUCCGGAUUGUAGUCUGCAACUCGACUACAUGAAGUUGGAAUCGCUAGUAAUCGCGGAUCAGCAUGUCGCGGUGAAUACGUUCCCGGGUCUUGUACACACCGCCCGUCACACCAUGGGAGCGGGUUUCACCAGAAGUGGGUAGCCUAACCGCAAGGAGGGCGCUCACCACGGUGGGAUUCGUGACUGGGGUGAAGUCGUAACAAGGUA